Molecule: long non-coding RNA, 794 nt
Organism: Pezoporus occidentalis (night parrot)
Lineage: Eukaryota; Metazoa; Chordata; Aves; Psittaciformes; Psittacidae
Exons: 2
Source: RefSeq, a predicted model, not a curated record
GACCUCACUUGGUGUACUGUGUGCAGUUCUGGUGUCCUCAACAUAAAAAGGACAUGGAACUGUUGGAAGAAGUCCAGAGGAGGGCCACAAGGAUGAUCAGGGGACUGGAGCACCUCCUGUAUGAAGACAGGCUGAGAAAUUGGGGCUGUUCAGCCCGGAGAAGAGAAGGCUGCGUGAGGACCUCAUAACAGCCUUCCAGUAUCUGAAGGGGGCCUGUAAGGAUGACAAGAGGGACUCUUCAUUAGGGACUGUAGUGAUAGGACAAGGGGUAACGGGUUCAAACUUAAACAGAAGUUCAUGUAUCUAACAUAGGGAAGAAAUACUUUACUGUGAGAGUGGUGAGAAACUGGAACAGGCAGCCCAAGGAAUCUGUGGAUGCCUCAUCUCUGGCAGUGUUCAAGAACAGGUUGGACAGGACGCUGAGCAACCUGGUCUAGUGGAAGGUGUCCCUGCCCAUGGCAGGGGGGUUGGAACUAGAUGAUCUUAAGGUCCUUUCCAACCCAAAUCAUUCUAUGAUUCUAAGUUUGCUAAUUAUGAUUCCCCUGAGUUCACUGAAAUUGCAACUCUGAUUUACUCCAAGGGGAAAUCAGAAUCUGACCUCAAGUUAUUUCUGCUUUCUGGAGUGCUGCAUUGUCCAUGCCUCAUAUUUUAGAGACUGAUUUUUGUCUUGCAAACAUGUGGCUUAUUUUGUCCUUAAUUAUAUCUGAGAGUGAAAUAUACCUCUUGGGUUUUGGACCACCUAUCUUUGUAUUAGUUGCUCAGUGUCUAUUUUAUUAAUAAAUGUAUUUUUACUA